AUGUAAAUUUUUUUAAGUAUUUUUUCAAUGAUAUUUUGAUUUUCAAUACAAAAUUAGAAUAGCUAUAACUUUAAUUUUCAAGAUCCUAUGAUAGAGAUUAGAUCUCAGUCUAUCCCUGAGGGUUCGACCGCAUCCACAGAUGACAAGAUCUGUGAUCAGAUGCUUGAUACAAGAUCCUGUUAUGUUAGAAAGCUAGGGCAUGGGAUCAAAGCUCUCCCAUCCUCACACUCGUCUAGGGCUGACGUCCAUGCUGCCUACGAUAUACGACUGACGC
Molecule: long non-coding RNA, 274 nt
Filed under: Elaeis guineensis (African oil palm)
Lineage: Eukaryota; Viridiplantae; Streptophyta; Magnoliopsida; Arecales; Arecaceae
Description: long non-coding RNA (EGUI_LNC024861)
Source: RNAcentral